AUUUGCAGUGGUCAGUUCAAGGCUAAAAAGGCUGUUUUGCUUUCAGUAAUAUUUAACUGGCUGGUUUCGGGCCACAUCCCACAGUGGCCAGAAAACUGCUACAAAAUUGACUGUGGGAAACAUGAGUUCUGUUCAACCUCUCUGGAAUGCCGUAUAAAUCAUCCUGGAAUACUCGAGAACAAUGGCCUGACUGUUUCUCUGGCAAUAUGCAUGGCCACAUCCUCCAGCUGUGUGUAAUCCAAGCUGUAGCCUCUUUUAUCCAUCUAGAACCUAAGAACGCUACUGUGUUACGAGGUAGUGAGGUCCACUUUAACUGCAGCACCGAUGAAUCCUGGGAUGUCAUGACGUGGCUGUUGGGUGGAAGGACAAUCCUCACUAUUUCGGUGGAACAUGGUCCUCUGGGCAGAGAUGAGAGUGUGUCCACAGUCAAUCACUCAGUCAUGUCAUCUCUGUCAGUGUGGGAGUUAGUUCUGUUGAACGCUUCCUUCAGCCCCACUGUACAGGAAGUCACAUGUGAACUGCUGCCAACGAAACUCGGCAGAUCAUCAUCAGCUCUGUUUGUACAAGAAAAAGGAAAUGUCAGGAUUUUGGAGAGUGAUCAGUCAGUUCAAGAGGGGAUGCUUGUUAUCUGCCAUUGCCAAGCGAGUGGCUGGUAUCCGGACCCUUCAGUGUCCUGGGUGGUCAACGGCACCACUGUGGACAGAGGCGACUACAACACCAGCAGUUUUCAGGACCCCAAUGGCCUUUUCAGCUCUACCAGUGUGCUUCAGAUGAAAGCAGAGACGAGCACCAUGGUGGAGUGUUGGGCAUCUGUGUCUGCCGCUCGAGCCCACCAGAGCAGCAGUCUCAAGCUGACUGUAGUGGCACCGAAUACUCCACAGGACUACACAGUUGUGAUCACUGUGAUAGUGUCGGUGUGUACAAUCAUUCUGCUGGCAGUGCUCAUCCUGGUCUUGUACUAUAGAAAAAAAGUGACAAAAUCGAGCUCUGAAAAUAAAGUCAGCCCCUCUUUGUGGACUGUCAAUUUAAGCAGUAGGAGGAGGUCUGUUGCUGAUGAAACCAGAGGAAAAGUUAACCUAGGAUACCACACUGAAGACGUAACAAGUUCAGGGCACCAUGAGCUCAGGAACAGAGCUGACAGCACGAUAAACAUCAUCAGCCCUCCGCGGGUUCCUGAUAUCAUAAUUUUCCGCUCUCAAAAUCAUAAAGAGGAAGAUUUUUCUAAAUUGUACUACAAGGGAGGAAAGACAGUCCGUCGGGUCACCACUGUUUGACCUCAGGGUCAACCCCACAUCAACCACCCACUGCAAGAAAGAGCCAGCUUUCUGUUCAGAGAGACGCCACAAAUUCAGUCUGACCUUAUUGUUACUACAAAGAGGUCUUAUAUGCUGAAGAUGAAGAUGCAGUGGCUUGCAUGUCAAGAGUAUUGAGACAUAAUCAUAUGAGCCCUGCAGUCAACUGCAUGCAAUCAUUCAUGGUAAUGGCUGCUGAUAAAUCAGCCACAUCAACACUGCAUAUGCUCUUUUUCAGAAAUAAUUCAAUUGGAUGUGAUUAUUUUGUACCUUAUUCAAAUGAAAAUAUUUAAGUUAUUUUUUGUUGAUCGAUACUUUACACAAUUUUGUACAUCAGUAUAUGCAUCUUCAUCAGUAUAGAGGGCUGGAGUGAUGAUGUAUUUUUGUGGGCCAAACCGGAAGUUGGCAUUACCCUGGUUCCAUUGACAAAAAUCCAACUGUAUUUUUCCAAUGGCUUUUGGAAUAUUGCAGAAAAUAAGCUCUGAGACCAUCAAAAGUUUAUAAUUUCACGUUUUUCUCAUCAUAAUAAUUUUUACAAAUCUUCACAACUUAAGCCUAAAUACAAUUAGCAGAAGUAAAAAGAUAAAUGUAGGCUAUAAAUUAAUAUAGGCUAUAAAUAAAUUAUUUAAAUCCUUAUUAAAAAAAUACCUUAAAAGUUUGAGUUAGAAUAGUUUGCAAGAGAAUGAUUAUAAACACAAUGUGCUGUGAACUAGUAAAUAGUAGCUUACCCUUUUCAGUGCAACAUUUAAGCUUUUACUUUCUUGUAAAAGGCGGCUGCUAACAAGUCGCAAAAUAGAACUACAGAGGAUGUUGAGGACAUUAAAGGGAUAGUUCACCCAAAAAUGAAAAUUCUGUCAUUAAUUACUCACCCUCAUGUCGUUCUAAACCCGUGUUCAUCUUCGGAACACAAAUUAAGAUCAAGAUCAACGCCCAGAAACGUAGCAAGGAGAUCGGUAAAUAAUCUAUGUCACAUCAGGGGUUCAACCGUAAUAUUAUGAAGCUACGAGAAUACUUUUUGUGCGCAAAAGAAAAGAAAAAAAACUACUUUAUUCAACAAUUCGUCUCCUCCGCGUCACCCUAUAGCGCCAUUUUGGAGAGUAUCCACUAAACGCAAACAGCGUAUGGUGUUCUAUGUCAGCUGCGCGAUACGUUUUCUACGUUGUUUGUGCUUUGAUUUGAACGAAAACAACGUAUCUGCGUGACGCAGCUGACACAGAACACCAUACGCUGUUUGCGUUCAGUGGAUACUCUCCAAAAUGGCGCUAUAGGGUGACGUGGAAGAGACGAAUUGUUGAAAAAAAAAUUUUGCGCACAAAAAGUAAUCUCAUAGCUUCGUAAUAUUACGGUUGUACCUCUGACGUCACAUGGAUUAUUUUAACGAUCUCCUUGCUACGUUUCUGGACCUCGAUCGUGGUAGUACCCUUGCUGUCUUUGGGAGGGUCGGAAAGCUCUCAGAUUCCAUCAGAAAUAUCUUAAUUUGUGUUCCGAAGAUGAACGAAGGUCUUACGGGUUUAGAACGACAUGAGGGUGAGUAAUUAUUGACAGAUUUUUCAUUUUUGGGUAAACUAACCCUUUAAUAUCCCCAGCAUCCUCUGUAGUUCUAUUUAGUGAUUUGUUAGCAGCCGCCUUUUACAAGAAAGUAAAAGCUUAAAAACAAGUCGGUAUUAUGCAUAUGUAUUUUUUUUGUCAUGGAAUCAAAUGUGAAAAUUCUUGUACUUUUUUAAUGAAAGCUUUAAACCACAAACCCAUUCAAAAACACUUUGUCUUCAGGGCAAUGGAACCAAAGUGAUAAAAUGCGAACUGAUUUCUGGGUUUUGUCCUAUAAAAACAUGUCAUCCCUGCAUCAAUUUAUUUUAUUGUUAUUUAUUUAUACAGUGUAUCUUUGCAAUAA
Molecule: long non-coding RNA, 3183 nt
Filed under: Sinocyclocheilus grahami
Lineage: Eukaryota; Metazoa; Chordata; Actinopteri; Cypriniformes; Cyprinidae
Description: lncRNA (ENSSGRG00000046600.1)
Source: RNAcentral